Molecule: ribosomal RNA, 574 nt
Filed under: uncultured bacterium
Lineage: Bacteria
Description: bacterial SSU rRNA
Rfam family: Bacterial small subunit ribosomal RNA
Source: RNAcentral
GGGGGCCCGCACAAGCGGCGGAGCAUGCGGAUUAAUUCGAUGCAACGCGAAGAACCUUACCAAGGCUUGACAUGGACCGGACCGGGCUGGAAACAGCCCUUCCCCUUUGGGGCCGGUUCACAGGUGGUGCAUGGUUGUCGUCAGCUCGUGUCGUGAGAUGUUGGGUUAAGUCCCGCAACGAGCGCAACCCUCGUUCCAUGUUGCCAGCGCGUAAUGGCGGGGACUCAUGGGAGACUGCCGGGGUCAACUCGGAGGAAGGUGGGGACGACGUCAAAUCAUCAUGCCCCUUAUGUCUUGGGCUUCACGCAUGCUACAAUGGCCGGUACAAAGGGUUGCGAUACUGUGAGGUGGAGCUAAUCCCAAAAAGCCGGUCUCAGUUCGGAUUGGGGUCUGCAACUCGACCCCAUGAAGUCGGAGUCGCUAGUAAUCGCAGAUCAGCAACGCUGCGGUGAAUACGUUCCCGGGCCUUGUACACACCGCCCGUCAAGUCACGAAAGUUGGUAACACCCGAAGCCGGUGGCCUAACCCCUUGUGGGAGGGAGCUGUCGAAGGUGGGACUGGCGAUUGGGACUAA